Molecule: ribosomal RNA, 497 nt
Filed under: uncultured bacterium
Lineage: Bacteria
Description: partial 16S ribosomal RNA
Rfam family: Bacterial small subunit ribosomal RNA
Source: RNAcentral
GAUGAACGCUGGCGGCGUGCCUAAUACAUGCAAGUCGAGCGAACGGACGAGAAGCUUGCUUCUCUGAUGUUAGCGGCGGACGGGUGAGUAACACGUGGAUAACCUACCUAUAAGACUGGGAUAACUUCGGGAAACCGGAGCUAAUACCGGAUAAUAUUUUGAACCGCAUGGUUCAAAAGUGAAAGACGGUCUUGCUGUCACUUAUAGAUGGAUCCGCGCUGCAUUAGCUAGUUGGUAAGGUAACGGCUUACCAAGGCAACGAUGCAUAGCCGACCUGAGAGGGUGAUCGGCCACACUGGAACUGAGACACGGUCCAGACUCCUACGGGAGGCCGCAGUAGGGAAUCUUCCGCAAUGGGCGAAAGCCUGACGGAGCAACGCCGCGUGAGUUAUGAAGGUCUUCGGAUCGUAAAACUCUGUUAUUAGGGAAGAACAUAUGUGUAAGUAACUGUGCACAUCUUGACGGUACCUAAUCAGAAAGCCACGGCUAACUACGUG